AUCCAGUUUUGAAAGAAAAGAUUCUAUGAAUUGAUCAAAAAAUUGACCAUUAUGUACCUUGAAAUCCUGGGCAAUUUCACGAACAAGCCUCUGGAAAGGCAAUUUCCUGAUAAGAAGCUCAGUACUCUUCUGGUACUUACGAAUUUCAC
Molecule: long non-coding RNA, 149 nt
Organism: Hibiscus syriacus
Lineage: Eukaryota; Viridiplantae; Streptophyta; Magnoliopsida; Malvales; Malvaceae
Exons: 4
Source: RefSeq, a predicted model, not a curated record